This 489-nucleotide ribosomal RNA is filed under the name uncultured bacterium. RNAcentral describes it as "partial 16S ribosomal RNA". It matches the Rfam family "Bacterial small subunit ribosomal RNA", at positions 30 to 507 of the family's 1533-position model. The record is from RNAcentral.
AUUGAACGCUGGCGGCAGGCCUAACACAUGCAAGUCGAACGGUAACAGGAAGAAGCUUGCUUCUUUGCUGACGAGUGCGGACGGGUGAGUAAUGUCUGGGAAACUGCCUGAUGGAGGGGGAUAACUACUGGAAACGGUAGCUAAUACCGCAUAACGUCGCAAGACCAAAAAGGGGGACCUUCGGGCCUCUUGCCAUCGGAUGUGCCCAGAUGGGAUUAGCUAGUAGGUGGGGUAACGGCUCACCUAGGCGACGAUCCCUAGCUGGUCUGAGAGGAUGACCAGCCACACUGGAACUGAGACACGGUCCAGACUCCUACGGGAGGCAGCAGUGGGGAAUAUUGCACAAUGGGCGCAAGCCUGAUGCAGCCAUGCCGCGUGUAUGAAGAAGGCCUUCGGGUUGUAAAGUACUUUCAGCGGGGAGGAAGGGAGUAAAGUUAAUACCUUUGCUCAUUGACGUUACCCGCAGAAGAAGCACCGGCUAACUCCGUG